GCUCUAACCAUUUAACCUGUUCAU
This 24-nucleotide microRNA is filed under the name Ananas comosus (pineapple). RNAcentral's name for it is "microRNA s1131_c006b". The record is from RNAcentral. Lineage: Eukaryota; Viridiplantae; Streptophyta; Magnoliopsida; Poales; Bromeliaceae.